UCCUUAGAUGUUCUGGGCCGCACGCGUGCUACACUGAGUGGAUCAGCGGGUCAGGUUGCGCGAAAGCGUUUCCUAAUCUUUAAAUCCGCUCGUGAUGGGGAUUGACGGUUGCAAUUUUCUGUCAUGAACGAGGAAUACCUUGUAAGCGCGGGUCAUCAUCCCGCGCUGAAUACGUCCCUGCCCUUUGUACACACCGCCCGUCGCUCCUACCGAUUGAGUGGUCCGGUGAGGCUUUGGGAUCUGAGCGGAAAGAGCGUUUCGCUGUUUCUGCUUGGAAAACUCAGUCGAACCUUAUCAUUUAGAGGAAGGAGAAGUCGUAACA
This 322-nucleotide ribosomal RNA is filed under the name uncultured eukaryote. RNAcentral describes it as "partial 18S ribosomal RNA". It matches the Rfam family "Eukaryotic small subunit ribosomal RNA", at positions 1470 to 1796 of the family's 1831-position model. The record is from RNAcentral.